Molecule: long non-coding RNA, 1195 nt
Organism: Micropterus dolomieu (smallmouth bass)
Lineage: Eukaryota; Metazoa; Chordata; Actinopteri; Centrarchiformes; Centrarchidae
Exons: 5
Source: RefSeq, a predicted model, not a curated record
ACAGCACAUACAGUCAGAGAAUCAAUUUCUUGACAAAAAGGAUUUUAUGUUGAAGAUCCAGUAAUCGACUUCCGUUACUUUGCCGCCUGUCGCUGUGGGACUUGAUGCUGCUGCUACUUCGGGGCCGCAGACAAAAGCGUCUUUCCGUGGGAAAGACUUGAGAAUCUAACAAAAGGCAAACGCACACCUACAGAAACACGUUUGAUCGAGAGCCCUUCGAUACAGCGUCCAAAAUGGCCAGGUGCACCAUAUGGAGAUCAAAGGAUUGGAAUUAAUCACAUGAAAUCCUCCAAGAAAGAAGGACUCUGAACAAAGCCAGAGAACCUUGAUUGCACAGCUGAGAGCUGGGAUUCUGCCUCUGGACAUUGAGAUUAAAACCAUCAUAUAAGCCACCUCAAAGAACUGACUGUGCAGACAUUUUGCAUGUGCAUGCUGCCAUCUUCACUGCACCUGUUAGUGACAAUAAGAGAGAGGGUUUUGUCAAAGUCAGGACCAGGAGGGGGGAGAAGACAUCUCUUCAUGUGCAAUAGAGUUGAAUGUCACUGUAAAUGCCAACAUUAGUGCAAAUGCUUGGCUCAGAUUUGUUGCCUCCAUGACAGGAAAUGUUUCUUCCAGUGCAAAGAUAUUGAUUUCAGUCUCUUUCAAACUCAGCAGCCCGCCUCACUGCAUGACAGAUAAUUGGUUUUCCAACAGGUCUUAGGUAGCAUGAUAAACCCUACAACAUGUAAACAUGCAUAUGCGCAUCAUUUCAUUGCUUCAUUAUUUGUAUUUUUUUAAGAAUGGGAUUGUUUCACUGGCUUGUUUUUUUUAAUACAAAAAUAAUUACAACAAUUGAUCUGUUGUUGCGGUAAAUACAUAUGGUCUCUCUGUGUGUUUGUGCAGUCAUGCACGCAAAUGUUAGGAUGAUUGUAGCUAUGAAAAAAAGAUGCUCCAUUUGUGACAUUUACGCUAUCAUUAAAUAAUCAGUUUAUUGCACACAAAAUAGAAAUGUCUUUUUUGUUGUUGUUACUCAGUGCCUUUUGCUGAUGUGUACAUGUAUAGAGUUGAGUGAGAGCUUCAGUAUCUCCAGGUAAAGCAUUCAUAUGUGGACCCGACUAGAAAACAACAAAUACACCAACUGGCUAAACUGAGGAUUAGUCCACCGUGGGAAGAAAGGGAUCAGUCCAAAAAAUUAAAAAUCAAUGUACUGUUUCUA